Balaenoptera acutorostrata (minke whale) is the source of this 2743-nucleotide long non-coding RNA. RefSeq lists it as uncharacterized. The transcript is spliced from 3 exons. The record is from RefSeq and is a predicted model, not a curated record. NCBI's taxonomy places the organism in Eukaryota, Metazoa, Chordata, Mammalia, Artiodactyla, Balaenopteridae.
UGCUCUUAUUAUUCACAGCUGACAGAAGCAGAAACUGAGAUAGAGGCCACAUGCCCACCCCAGCUUACUCAGCUAAGUAGGUGGCAGAAGUGGGAUUUGAACCCUGGUUCCAUCCAAGAUAAGGCAUAAAACCCCUGGGAUGAGUCACUUACUGCAACAGAGCAUGAACCCAGGCUUGGAGUCCGGGCAGCAGAGACAAAACCACGAGAAAACAGAUAAGGAACGACACUGUCUUCCCACUGUCUGCAGAGACUCUCUCCCUUGGAACGAAAUGAAGCCAAAAAGUAGGAUAUGAUGUCACAACGGCCAUUUCACAACAGACAGGGGAAGAUAGUCAAACCAACACUGUAUGGGCCCCCCUCAAGGCAGAGGAUGUGAAGAAACAUCAGCUGAAUGCAGCGAUCUGCUCUUCCUUCUGGCCCAAGCUCCACAUCUCCUCGCUGACCACACUUUGAGUAGCAAGGCCAGAAACAACCUGGGGCCUGAACCCUACUAAGCCUGAUGUUCUUUCCAGAACAAGAAGGAACGCGGUGGGUUUGGGAGAAGGAGAGAUUGGACGUGGACUGCGGUGUGUCUCACUUGCACCCAUCAGGGGGCGGGAGGACGCAGCCACGUGCUACAGACGAUCCUGCCGUACAGGAUUACUUACAGGUCUCACCCAAGAGGCUCUCCCAUCCAGACCCAGAGAAAGUUCCAGAAGCUUCUUGACAUCGCUACCCUCUGUACCCUCAGGAAGACUAAAGAGCCUAGACCCCUUAGCCGCACUCAGGCUCUGCAAGUGGCCAGAGUGUGUGCGGGGCGGAUGUCAGUAUAAUUCCUCUGGACAUCCCCUCUCAGCUAAAAUCAGAGGCCCCAGACCUCUCAUUCAUUCAUUUAGUUGUUUUUUCACUUAGGCAUGCUCAGACCCCUGCCAGCAGCCAAAGGUGGUUACCUAAUAUUCUCCUCUUUUAUUUUUUAAACAAACAAUACUUUGCAGGAUUAAAAACCAUCAUUAUAAGAUUAUGACACAAAGUUGGGUUUCAUUAUAAGAUUAUGACACAAAGUUGGGUUUCGAAUUGGUCACUUUACUGGAUUGGAAGGGGAGGGGCAGGACGAGGCAGGUGAUGGGCCGGAGGCUGUAGGUGUGGCCACUGAGAGAGGUGAGGAGUGGAAGAGCAGGGAUGGAGGGUGGGAUCUGGGGGAAGGGUGAGGAGUGGGGGGAGGAGGAGGCAUCAAGACAAGGGCCAAGUAUCCAGCUCAAGGCCUGGGGCAUGGUGGGGCCGCUCCAGAGAUGGGGCAGGAGAAGAGGGCCACAGGCAUGGACCAGGUGAGAAGGAGGGGCUGGGGGUCGUCGCAGCGACAGCAUCCCUCAGGCAGGAGGGACUCCGGGCUGGAGUCUGCCCAGCUUCCAUUCCUCCCUCCAGACCCUCUCUCACUGACCCCCGGGCUGAGCAACCCCUUCACACUGGCUUCAGAGUUUGUGGGGGGCUUCACAGCCCUCAGCAAUUGGUUUGUCAAAUAAAGUAUAGGGCACUCACAUAAAUCAGAAUCUCAGAUAAACAACCAAUCAUUUUUUAUAGACAUAUAUCCCAAACACUGUCUGCAUUUCUUGUUUAUCUGAAGACCAAAGUUCACUGGGCAUCCUGGAUUUUUUUUUUUUUUUGGCUGUGUUGGGUCUUCAUUGCUGUGCACGGGCUUUCUGUAGUUGUGGCGAACGGGGGCUACUCUUUGUUGAGGUGCACGGGCUUCUCAUUGUGGCGGCUUCUCUUUGUUGCAUAGCAUGGGCUCUAGGUGCGCAGGCUUCAGUAGUUGUGGCACGCGGGCUCAGUAGUUGUGGCUCACGGGCUCAGUGGUUGUGUCUUGCGGGCUCUAGAGUGCAGGCUCAGUAGUUGUGGCACACGGGCUUAGUUGCUCCGCGGCACGUGGGAUCUUCCCAGACCAGGGAUCGAUCCCGUGUCCCCUGCAUUGGCAGGCGGAUUCUUAACCACUGCGCCACCAGGGAAGUCCCGCAUCCUGGAUUUUUAUUUGCUACAUCUGGCAGCCCUACUCAGUGAGAACACAAGUCCCUGAGCGCGAGUCCUCGGGUACCACGCGGGCUCUCCCGCUAACAGUGAUGCGUUAGCACCUUUGGAUAACAGAGGGGCCGCGGUGAGGGCGGAAGCCAGAGGAGCCUGGAGUGCCUCGUCCUGCUGGGAGCGGCCUGGAUGUGGUCGGGCCGAUCCUAUCAAGCGGCUCUCAUGAAAUUCUUUCCCUUUUCAGGCCUCAUCCCUAGAAACUCCCAGCUCCUCUGCUUGGCCCAUGGGCCUCCUUGUCCCCUUUUCUCCAGAGUCCCCAUGAGAUUCUAGUGACUCCAGGUUUCUGUGGGUCCCUCAUGCACUAUGCUCUUCCCAGAUCCGUGCCUUUAUCUGUACCUCUGCUCAGCCUGCAGCCACCUUCCCGCUUCUGGGCCUGGAAGCAGGAGCCCUGUCCUGUCAGUGUCUCCUCUGGACACUCUCACCAGGGGUUCUCUGCACUAUUGACAUUUGGGACCAACACUGUCUCAGCCCCCAAAAGCUCCACAGCAAACCCAGCCUCCCUCCAAUCUCCCCUCCCAACUGGGCAGCCACUGAGCCCCUGGGAGCAGCCCCACCCUUUUCCCUCCAAGCCCCUCCCCCUAGGGACACUCCUCAGACUAAGUGCUGCCACCCACAGACGACCACCUGAUCCUGCUCCCGGGUCCUCGGCCUCUGGGGGCCAGUGGGCAAGCCCACCCAGAGGCAGGCUU